CCUACGGGAGGCAGCAGCAGGGAAUCUUGCACAAUGGGCGAAAGCCUGAUGCAGCGACGCCGCGUGAGGGAUGAAGGUUCUAGGAUCGUAAACCUCUUUUCUUAGGGAAUAGUUUGGAAGGUACCUAAGGAAUAAGUCACGGCUAACUACGUGCCAGCAGCCGCGGUAAUACGUAGGUGGCAAAUGUUGUCCGGAAUCAUUGGGCGUAAAGGGUCCGUAGGUGGCUUGAAAAGUCUUAUGUGAAAUCUCUUGGCUCAACCAAGAAACGCCAUAAGAAACUUUCAUGCUAGAGAUCAUCAGAGGGAGGUAGAAUUCCAGGUGUAGUGGUGAAAUGCGUAGAUAUCUGGAGGAAUACCAAUGGCGAAAGCAGCCUCCUGGGGUGAAUCUGACAUUGAGGGACGAAAGCGUGGGUAGCAAACCGGAUUAGAUACCCGGGUAGUCCAUGCCGUAAACGAUGAAUACUGGGUCUUCGGGGAAUCGACCCCCUGUGGACCGAAGCUAACGCGUUAAGUAUUCCGCCUGGGGAGUACGGUCGCAAGACUAAAACUCAAAUGAAUUGACGG
This 563-nucleotide ribosomal RNA is filed under the name uncultured bacterium. Its description in RNAcentral is "bacterial SSU rRNA". It matches the Rfam family "Bacterial small subunit ribosomal RNA", at positions 338 to 916 of the family's 1533-position model. The record is from RNAcentral.